GACCAGGACAAGCAAGCCGCAAGACCAGGACAAACAAGCCGCAAGCCGCAAGAGAAGCAGGCUGCAAGCCGCAAGACAAGCAAGCCGCAAGACCAAGACAAGCAAGCCGCAAGAAAAAGACAAGAAAGCUAGUUCUCCUUUGGUGAUGUUUGGAAGUUUGCGUUUUUCUGGAGUGAAAGCGACCGUGUCAACGAAGCGUGGCAGAACGAGGCAGAACCACAGGGCUCCCGCGCCAUACACCAUUUUUCUAUACCUAUGGGGCUCUAAUGGGGCUCCGCUAUGAUGCUAGAUGGUACCUAGCAUGCGGAGAUCGGCGAGUACCGAGCGGGUUCAAUGGCCUUAGUGUGAACGUCUGCUCCAUCGCAACUAGUGCUCACACGAGGACCCAACACACGGAUUGGCCUAUUUAGCGGAUAAGGUAUUUUUUCUGUUUUUAUUGUUAGUAACGUUUCAUUGAUUUUGUUUUGUUUUGUAUUUUCAGGUUGUUGAUUUUCGCUUUAUCAUUCGUUAGUUCGUUAUUUUUUAUAAUAAUUACCUUUUGUAGAGAAUUCUGAUAUCUAUGCCUCGGAUGGGCUAGUAAAGGUUAUGCGCCGGAUGCGCAGUUUGCCUCAGAUGCGGACGUAAGGUUAUUCGCCGGAUGCGCGGUUUGCCCUGGAUGGGCUAAAGGUUAUGUGCUGGAUGCGCGAUUUUCCCCAGAUGCGGGGUUAGGUAUAUUCGCCGGAUGCGCAGUUUGCCCCAGAUGCAGGCCUAAUGAUAUGCGCCGGAUGCGCGUUUGCCCCAGAUGCGGGCCUAAUGAUAUGCGCCGGAUGCGCGGUUUGCCCCGGAUGGGCUUCCGCCGGAUUUUGUAUUUAUACUGUGUUUUUUUUUUUAAAUAAAUUAAAUAAAUUAUUCUAUCUAUUCUGGGUUCAUUUUUGUUUGCUUUUUCUAUUUUUCUUUUCACAUGUUUUUUCAGAUGCUAUGGUCCGACUUCAAGUCCGCCAUGCCCUGUCAUCUUCUCCACGCAGUAGAUAAAGUACAACAGACUGUUUUACGUUCAAAAUUUGAUGGAACUGUCAAGAGCUAUUAAGGAGGUUUCAAUCGUUGGAAGCGCUGGGCGACAAACAAUCAUUUAAGUCAUUUUCCUGCUAACCUAUUCUAUGUUGCAGUUUAUUUUCAGUGCUUAUUGGAAUCAGCACAAAGCCCUUCGCCCAUCUUGAACGCGGCAUAUUCAAUUGACUUGGUGCUCUCCCUAGGAGGGCUACCAAAGAUCUCGGAUCACGCUAUAGUUAAGGCGAUGCUUGAUGCUUCCAAAAGAAUACUGGGAAAGCCUAGAAACAAAAAAAGAACCAGAAAUUGCAGAGAUGCUGUUGGCUUUGGUCUCAAAGUUUGGGAAAAAUCCUGCUCUUAGUAACUGCAGAUCUCUAGCCUUGUGUUUAAUUGGUUAUGCGGGUUUACUGCGGUUCAGUGAAAUUUGUAGUAUUAGAUGUUGUGAUGUUAACUUGUUACCCUCGUAUGCGUCUAUCUUUAUAGAGUCAUCUAAGACUGAUCAACUACGCGAAGGAGCCUGGGUGACAAUUGCUCGUUCUGAAUUGGUGUAGCUCCCCUGGAGAAAUACAAAGCAUACGCUUACUUGGACGAUGAUCUGCCUUUAUUCCGUGUUUUAGCUGGACCAUCUUGCUCUACCAAGGUGUGCUCUCAAGGAGGCGUUCACUGGGAUAACAGAUGUAUCGAAGAUUAGUCGGCACAGCCUUAGAUCUUAGCUACAGCCGCAGCCAAUAACGGGAUUCCCGAUAGACUGUUUAAACGUCAUGUCCGAUGGUGGAGUGAGAAUGCUAAAGACGGCUAUGUUAAAGACAAUCUAGACUCACUUUUAUCUGUUUCCAGAAACUUACGAAUUUAAUUUGCCUUGCCCAGCUGGCAAAAGAGGUGCGGUCCUUAGGGCUGGGGUUUUCCCCGUGUUUUCAAUGUGUAUAAGUGCUGCGGAGCACAUAGGGGUUUUUCACCCUUUGGAAAUUCCGUACGCCCUCUUUUCAGAUAUUAUCUAGACAAGGUAUCAGUAUUUAAACACUCACUCACCAAGUAUGUUUGUAAAUACAACUAAUAAAUUCGUGCGUUUCUCAGCCGAGCACACGACGAACAAUA
Molecule: long non-coding RNA, 2121 nt
Organism: Nematostella vectensis (starlet sea anemone)
Lineage: Eukaryota; Metazoa; Cnidaria; Anthozoa; Actiniaria; Edwardsiidae
Exons: 4
Source: RefSeq, a predicted model, not a curated record